UGGGGAAUAUUGGACAAUGGGCGCAAGCCUGAUCCAGCCAUGCCGCGUGAGUGAUGAAGGCCUUAGGGUUGUAAAGCUCUUUUAGCAGGGAAGAUAAUGACGGUACCUGCAGAAAAAGCCCCGGCUAACUUCGUGCCAGCAGCCGCGGUAAUACGAAGGGGGCUAGCGUUGCUCGGAAUUACUGGGCGUAAGGCGCACGUAGGCGGACUCUUAAGUCGGUGGUGAAAUCCUGGAGCUCAACUCCAGAACUGCCUUCGAUACUGGGAGUCUUGAGUUCGGGAGAGGUGAGUGGAACUGCGAGUGUAGAGGUGAAAUUCGUAGAUAUUCGCAAGAACACCAGUGGCGAAGGCGGCUCACUGGCCCGAUACUGACGCUGAGGUGCGAAAGCGUGGGGAGCAAACA
RNAcentral lists this ribosomal RNA (402 nucleotides) under uncultured bacterium. Its description in RNAcentral is "bacterial SSU rRNA". It matches the Rfam family "Bacterial small subunit ribosomal RNA", at positions 355 to 774 of the family's 1533-position model. The record is from RNAcentral.